RNAcentral lists this ribosomal RNA (190 nucleotides) under uncultured Glomeromycotina. RNAcentral describes it as "partial 18S ribosomal RNA". It matches the Rfam family "Eukaryotic small subunit ribosomal RNA", at positions 892 to 1078 of the family's 1831-position model. The record is from RNAcentral. Lineage: Eukaryota; Fungi; Glomeromycota.
UAGUAUUCAAUUGUCAGAGGUGAAAUUCUUGGAUUUAUUGAAGACUAACUUCUGCGAAAGCAUUUGCCAAGGAUGUUUUCAUAAAUCAAGAACGAAAGUUAGGGGAUCGAAGACGAUCAGAUACCGUCGUAGUCUUAACCAUAAACUAUGCCGACUAGGGAUCGGACGAUGUUAAUUUUUUAAUGACUCA